Molecule: long non-coding RNA, 1091 nt
Filed under: Cicer arietinum (chickpea)
Lineage: Eukaryota; Viridiplantae; Streptophyta; Magnoliopsida; Fabales; Fabaceae
Description: long non-coding RNA (CARI_LNC003368)
Source: RNAcentral
CUUUAAAUAUGAGAAGACUGCGGCCUCUCUCAUUACCAAUUCAUUUAAUUAUUUUUCUCAUCUUCUUCCUUCUCUCUAAACACACAAAAUCUUAACUUUUCAUCUCAAUUAAUGAGCUUCUAAAAAACUUCGAAUCCAAAAAGCUUGAUCUACAAAAGUGCUCUCCUACUCUAUGAGCAUCUAUUAGGCUAAGGAACUCAUCUUCCCUUUUCCUUAUCUUAAAACAGUAAACCCUAUGUAUAAGAAGGAGGAAUAGUUUUUCUAAAUUUUAGUUAUUGUUGAGGUAUAUAUGCGAAAUUAGUAUUGCAUAUUACUUUAUAAUCAAAAAAGGAAAAUAAACCCCCAAUUUUUUUGAGGUGGCUGAACCCUAUCCACUAAAAGGAGAAAAAUUAAUUUUUAAAUGUGUUUGAAUUAUGUGAUAAGUUUAUUUCAAAUAAAUGAGUUUGAAAUGACAUUAUAAACUUUACUAAAAUGGGAUGAGUUGUUAAAGUUAUGGAAAUUCCAAUACUUGAUGUGUUUACAAAAAAAUAAGUAUUUAUGAAAAGUAAAUUUGUUUGAAAAUUGGAUUGUUUAUUUGGAAAGUAAAAUAGUCCUUAUGUUGAUUUAAGGAAUGGGAAAGUUCAAAGUGAAAUAAGAUAUUUAAUUUAUGUUAGUAAGUAACUUUGAAAAUUUUAUUAUCUAAGAUCUUAUGUUGUGACUUACUAAUAGCUCCUCGAGUCUCAAAAAAAAAAAUCAAGAAUGUUGAUUCAUGCUAAAGAUGAUGCUUUUAAUGAUGGAGCAUAAGCCAAUGAGGGGAGGAACUAUAUGGUAAAGGUCUUUGAUGUCAUGAUUAUCUUGUCAUCAUAUAAGUAGAGUUUGACAAGCCUAAUAAUGUCGGAGAAUUACAACUAAAUGAGCAUGAUGGUGAAGGUUUGUUAUAGAGCCUUAAGACAAGAUUGUUAGACCUUGGAGGUAUUAUAGUAAGAUAUUCCUAAGUGACUUGGGAUAGCCCUCCCAAAGUCGGGACCUACCAUUCAACACCCAUUUACGUCAACCGUCAUGUAUAUGAGUCUCAUGUUAUGUUAAGGGGAUCUAUGAGGACAUAAGCGAUU